Molecule: small RNA, 120 nt
Organism: Bilophila wadsworthia 3_1_6
Lineage: Bacteria; Pseudomonadati; Thermodesulfobacteriota; Desulfovibrionia; Desulfovibrionales; Desulfovibrionaceae
Rfam family: STnc490 Hfq binding RNA
Source: Rfam
AACUACCCGCUAUGCGGGAGGUUCCGAAAAGCUUACAGCUUUGCAUAUGUUAUAAAAACUCCUUUUGAUUUGUUAGUAAAGCUUGCGGUCUGGCAACUGCAAGCGGCAACAAAUCAAAAG